RNAcentral lists this long non-coding RNA (4130 nucleotides) under Setaria italica (foxtail millet). RNAcentral's name for it is "long non-coding RNA (SITA_LNC003732)". The record is from RNAcentral. Lineage: Eukaryota; Viridiplantae; Streptophyta; Magnoliopsida; Poales; Poaceae.
GGAACUGAUGUGAGCAUAGAAAACAUGCAUCAAGGGUUCACGCAUGUCUUUGAGUCCACAUUCGAAAGCACAGAAGGAAUCAAGGAGUACAUUGAGCACCCUGCACAUGUUGAAUUCGCAAAUGAGUUCUUGCCUGUAUUGGAGAAGGCCCUCAUAAUUGAUUACAAACCGACUUCUGUCAAUUAAUGGUGGACUAUGGAGAACCUGGGGGAGCUUUUCUCAAUUCUCAUCAUCAAUAUCCUUGUACUGUUUCUCAGAGAAUUCCAUUUGAUUCUACAAUAUACACUUUGUGUUGAAUAAGUCGGUUCUGCUUGGUUUCCUUGUUGAGAAUAAAUUGAGUUUCCUGUAACUGCAGUUGUAAUAACUUUGAACUUUUUUUUGUUCGUAUCAGAAUUACGUUUCCAAAGACUCCUAUACUGUCUGCUAUCUGUGCAUAUAAGCUCCAGUAGAAGCUGCGAGUGCGUAUUUUUCCUUUUAACCUUUUGAGCAUCAUGAUUGUGAUCAAUUGCGGUCUAAAAUUUAUGAUCCUAUUAUAUAUCUAUGUGCAUUACCUAUUACUUGUCUAGUUGUCUAAUAAAGCGUCUAACAUGGUAUUCCCAGAUGCAUUUUCCGUUCGCUGCUUGGAAGCUGCUGGACGAGAAAUUAACAUGUUUAUGUGACCAUGUCCUUCAGGAAAACACAAACUCAACGAUCUCUGUUUUCUGCAGAUUUACUGUACUGCUGAAACCAAUCGCUCUUAUCCUACUUUAGCAUGUUUUACGUGGUCUGUGGACUGUGGUAAUACCAACCGUGCCAUGCGUAUGAAUUUGGGCUUGACACUUGACAUGAACCAUAUAUUUUGUUCUUUUCGACAGCUUAAAACACUUACACGUUUAAACACCGAAAGCUAAACUUCUAAUGUUUGCUUAUUUGAGCUGCAACUUUUGGACUUUUCUGAAAAGCCGGUGCUACUUUUUUUUAAUGAAAGGCCAACCAUAACUUUUUAGAAUAUGCGUUUAGGUUUUUGUACCAAAAAGCUACGAAAAGCUCAGAAAAUUGAGCUUUUCAGCUUUCAAUAUAAACUCAGGUUUUCUAAACUUCUAACUUUUUGAAAGCUGCAUGAGAAGUUUCUUGUUUGUUUGAGUUUCUAGCUUUUGACACUGAGAAGUUAUCAGGAAGCACAAACAAAUAAGGUCUAAAAAUCACAAUACACUGCUUCAGAUGUGAUCUACCAAGAAUCUCUGCAUUAUGAAACCUGGUGACGACAAUAGCAUAUUGUUGAAUUAGUACGAGUGAGCACUUCCACAGUUCGUUCUAAAAAAAAGCACUUCCACAGUUCCAAGCAUGUCCUGAGCUGACGAAUUCACCUACCUCGGCAUGGAAUGGCCCGUAGACUUUCACUCAAGUAAUAAUUUUUUUUAAAAGGGGAGAGCUUAUACUAAAUUAACAAAACAUGUUUACAAUCAAAAUCUAAAACUGCCGACGCGCAGGCCAAGACACCUUAAGAAACAAAAUCAGAUGAGAGCUCUCUCCUACCAAGCUGUCCUAGUUCAUGAGCCACUCCAUUUGCACUUCGAUCGCACUUUAAAACUUUGAAACACUGGAACAUUCUCAGCAUUUUUUUACUUCUUCAAUGAUGAUGGACCUAGGGGAUCGAUUUAGAGUACCGUCAUUGAACGCUUGUACUGUAAGGCAGUCCAGCUCCAGCCAAAUAGGUCCCAUGAAAACAGAGCAGGCUCUGUUGAUGCCUAUCAAGGCUGCAAGACAUUCAACUUCUUCAGCCGAAGAGCAUAAGCGAUCGCCGCACCAACCUGAAAAGGCAACUUCACCCAAGUGAUUCCUAGCAAUAAAACCUAGACCAGGAUGUUGUGUGUUAGGAUCAAAGCCAGCAUGUUGUGUGCAGGAAUCCGCCGCCAGGCGGUGGUGCCCAUGCCAUGAGCAGGCCAGCAACUUCGAAGGAAACAUGCUGCAAAGCCAAAGGAAUAUGUAUCUCGGCAUAUGUGGCAGUCGGCCCGCGAAACAUUGCGAACCAUGAAAACCGUUCAACCCGGCGGUUCCGAACCGCCUAGCUGACUCCCUCAUGGUUUGGUUGGGUUUUAACCAAUAACCGGUGAAACCGGACCAUGUAGAGGGCUUACCUUUGGGUUUCUCGCGGCCGGCGUUAGGUAGGCGGCCGUCCUACUCGCCACUGAAUAUGAUUGUCUAGAAACUAUUUUAUUAAAAGAAAAAUAUAUGAGAUGCAAUAAUUACUUAAGUAGAAGCAAGUACUACCCAUAUUUGAUGUUGGGUAGUUCAAAAAUAAACUAAGCAAUGUGUGCGUUCGGAGUCAAACGACCUGUUCAGCUGGACUUAUAAGCCGGCUGAAAAGCUGAAACGGCUGAUUUGUUGUGAGAGAAAAACACUGUUCGGUGGCUGAUAAGCCGGCUGAUAGGUUGAAGCGAACAGGCUUAAAGAAUUUUAUCAAACGUCUUCACCUUGGUAUUACUAAAAUCCUCCCCCCAUCUUUAAAUAUAAGAUGUUAGUAAUUGUCCUUAACAUCAUAUAACGGAGGGAGGAGGGAGGUAGUCUGUGCGAUGGACCACCCGAUCCGACCCGCACAAGUUCAGGCUGGAACCGGAUCCGGCCAGUUCGCUGCAGGUCAACUCACGAUGAUCCUAGAAUCGUCCACCUCGUGAUCGGCGAAUCCGCUGUCUACGCGCUAAACUGCCCGGGAGUAACGAUCCGGUCACCAAAUCAUCUCAGCUCGAGCAAUUCGCUCUCACCACGUAUAAAGCAGUGGCCAAGAAGCCAAGCCAAGCAGCAGCAGAGCAUCCUACCUACCACGACCAAACAGAGGAGGUGAGGGGCCUCGAGCGAAGAAGCCCGGAGGCAUGGCGGCUGGUGGCGGCGGCGGCGUGGUGAAGCACAUCCUGCUGGCGCGCUUCAAGGAGGACGUGACGCCGGAGCGAUUGGACCAGCUCAUCCGGGGCUACGACAGGCUCGUGGGCGUUGUCCCCCCCAUGAAGGCCUUCCACUGGUAAAGCGCGCUGCACCCACCUACCCACCUCCAGGACGACUUGAGAUCUCAACACGAUUCCAUUGCUGGCUGUUCACUGUUGUGUAUGCGGUAUGCCUCUGCUUCCUGUGGGCGAUUAGUAUCUACCUGUUUGGGCGCCGUCCCUGUGAGACUCCGUGAGGACUACGCACCCAAGGUGCUCGAGGAAUUGGCUGACUGCCUGGCUUAGUUUAUCUUGACUGAAACAUGAUUUGGCAUUUUGUGUUUCCCCGUGCACGAUCAGUGACUGCGAUCGAUGGCCCUGUGAUUUCUCCUAGUUCCCUGGUCCAGAUAUCCAUAGCUGAUUUAACUAAAUAAUAGCCAAACCAGCAUGUACUACUAGGUGCCUACCACCUCUAUUUCUUAUCCCAGAGCAUAUUACAACGAACAAUAUUGAUAUUUUCUAGGGAGAGAUUUACAUGUAUUCUCCAGACAACAGUCUUAUCUAUUUGUCAAAUUCAAAAAGUUUGUGCAUCUGCAAGAUCAUAUGAAAGUGAAAUUGCGAAAAAGUUAUAGUAGUAGUCUCAUUGUUUCACGCAUGAUUGCUACUCCGUUGUUUCAAGCUGUACGCUUCCUUAUGUGCACUUUGAUUUGCAGGGGAACUGAUGUGAGCAUAGAAAACAUGCAUCAAGGGUUCACGCAUGUCUUUGAGUCCACAUUCGAAAGCACAGAAGGAAUCAAGGAGUACAUUGAGCACCCUGCACAUGUUGAAUUCGCAAAUGAGUUCUUGCCUGUAUUGGAGAAGGCCCUCAUAAUUGAUUACAAACCGACUUCUGUCAAUUAAUGGUGGACUAUGGAGAACCUGGGGGAGCUUUUCUCAAUUCUCAUCAUCAAUAUCCUUGUACUGUUUCUCAGAGAAUUCCAUUUGAUUCUACAAUAUACACUUUGUGUUGAAUAAGUCGGUUCUGCUUGGUUUCCUUGUUGAGAAUAAAUUGAGUUUCCUGUAACUGCAGUUGUAAUAACUUUGAACUUUUUUUUGUUCGUAUCAGAAUUACGUUUCCAAAGACUCCUAUACUGUCUGCUAUCUGUGCAUAUAAGCUCCAGUAGAAGCUGCGAGUGCGUAUUUUUCCUUUUAACCUUUUGAGCAUCAUGAUUGUGAUCAAUUGCGGUCUAAAAU